CAAAUGGAGAGUUUGAUCCUGGCUCAGGAUAAACGCUGGCGGCGUGCCUAAUACAUGCAAGUCGAACGGAGUUUUGACUGAAGAAGAAGUGUUUACAUGGAAUCUGAUUUUAAAACUUAGUGGCGAACGGGUGAGUAAUGCAUAAGUAACCUACCUAUAAGGACUGGGAUAACGUUUGGAAACGAACGCUAAUACCGGAUAAGUAAUAAGAAGGCAUCUUCAUAUUAUUAAAGGUUAGAAACACAAAUAGAUGGGCUUAUGUUGUAUUAGCUAGUUGGUGAGGUAACUGCUCACCAAGGCGAUGAUACAUAGCCGGCCUGAGAGGGUGAUCGGCCACAUUGGGACUGAGACACGGCCCAAACUCCUACGGGAGGCAGCAGUAGGGAAUUUUCGGCAAUGGGGGAAACCCUGACCGAGCAACGCCGCGUGUGCGAUGAAGGUCUUCGGAUCGUAAAGCACUGUUGUAAAGGAAGAAUAGCCAUAUUAGAAAUAUGGUCUGACGGUACUUUAUCAGAAAGCCACGGCUAACUACGUGCCAGCAGCCGCGGUAAUACGUAGGUGGCGAGCGUUAUCCGGAAUUAUUGGGCGUAAAGGGUGCGUAGGCGGCAUGUUAAGUUUGUGGUGAAAGCGUGGGGCUCAACCCCAUUAAGCCACAGAUACUGGCAAGCUAGAGUGCAGAAGAGGGUAGUGGAAUUCCAUGUGUAGCGGUAAAAUGCGUAGAUAUAUGGAGGAACACCAGUGGCGAAGGCGGCUACCUGGUCUGUAACUGACGCUCAGGCACGAAAGCGUGGGGAGCAAAUAGGAUUAGAUACCCUAGUAGUCCACGCCGUAAACGUUGAAUACUAAGUGUUGGAGAAAUUCAGUGCUGCAGUUAACGCAAUAAGUAUUCCGCCUGUGGAGUAUGCACGCAAGUGUGAAACAUAAAGGAAUUGACGGGGGCCCGCACAAGCGGUGGAGUAUGUGGUUUAAUUCGAAGCAACGCGAAGAACCUUACCAGGCCUUGACAUCCCUUGCAAAAGCAUAGAGAUAUGCCAGAGGUUAUCAAGGUGACAGGUGGUGCAUGGUUGUCGUCAGCUCGUGUCGUGAGAUGUUGGGUUAAGUCCCGCAACGAGCGCAACCCCUAUCUUUAGUUACCAUCAUUUAGUUGGGGACUCUAGAGAGACUGCCGGUGAUAAGCCGGAGGAAGGUGGGGAUGAGGUCAAAUCAUCAUGCCCCUUAUGGCCUGGGCUACACACGUACUACAAUGGCUACUACAGCGAGCAGCUAGUCAGCGAUGACACGCAAAUCUCACAAAGGUAGUCUCAGUUCGGAUCGAAGUCUGCAACUCGACUUCGUGAAGCAGGAAUCGCUAGUAAUCGCAGAUCAGAAUGCUGCGGUGAAUACGUUCUCGGGCCUUGUACACACCGCCCGUCAAACCAUGAGAGUUGGUAAUGCCCGAAGCCGGUGGCCUAACCGUAAGGAAGGAGCCGUCGAAGGUAGGAUCGAUGAUUGGGGUUAAGUCGUAACAAGGUAUCCCUACGGGAACGUGGGGAUGGAUCACCUCCUUUCUAAGGAGA
This 1556-nucleotide ribosomal RNA is filed under the name Erysipelotrichaceae bacterium. RNAcentral describes it as "bacterial SSU rRNA". It matches the Rfam family "Bacterial small subunit ribosomal RNA". The record is from RNAcentral. Lineage: Bacteria; Bacillati; Bacillota; Erysipelotrichia; Erysipelotrichales; Erysipelotrichaceae.